UAAGACCUGGGACACAAGAGACAAUCAGAAAAAAGGCAACAAAAUAUAGAUCUAGACCCCUAAGGCUAGGAGAGCACCGUUUUCAACAAAAACAGACGCCCCCUGCAUUUUCAUCUUCCACACAUCCCAUUUUCUCACAAGAAUGUUGAUACCCCAGACUACCCCUGAACAUUCUGUUUCUUCUUCAACCAAAAUCACGACCCCUCAUCCAAAGACACACACACAGCCAUAUACAGAGAACAAAGGGACUAAAAUGGAAUAGAGGCCGAAGUUCUAUCGGAUUUGGAGUUGAUCUGAACUCGAGGUGGAUUUCGAUUGAGUAUGUUGUUGGUUUCGAGUUUUUUUCUGGUACCGUUUGAGGUCUGUGCAAGGUUCGAACCCGAGUUCGCGAUCUUUGUUGGUUAUGUUUCUACUUUCUCGCUAGGCUUGUAUUCACAGAUUUUAUCUGUUGAUAUCAAAGAUAAUCCUAUUAAAACAGGUUUGUUUCUUUACUGAUCUAUUUGUGUUAAUCAUGUAUUGUGAAUCAAACAUUAGGAAAACCAUUAAGGACAAGUUAAAAAUCAGUAGUGACUUCUGGGACUUUGUUUAAUUCUUUGAGCUGAGCCUAUAUCGUGAUGAUUGUGUUUUUCCUUAAAGUUUGGUUCCAUAGUGAUGUCUCUGAUUGAAUGAAUUUAGCGCGUAUUAAAACGUUUAGCGUCGUACCAUUUCUGGAUGGUUGUUCUCUCCAUAUAGAUGUAGCUUCUGUAUUUUGCAGUUUUGACCCUUUUUUAACACGAAUCUUGAUUCGUAUUGAACUCCGGGAGCCAAAGAGUUGAACCUAAAAAAACUAGGGUUUUCUCAGAUCCGAAAUUCGGGGAGUUUGAGGGUGCUUUUUUGGGAAUUAAUAAUGGAUUUGGUAAGGAAAGGUGAAGGUGGUUGUAUGGUAAGGAUCUGAAGAUGUUUGGAGAGAUUAGGGUUCAGGGAACUCCGGUCUUCGAUCUGAAAUUCGAAGGGCUCGACUAUGAUUUGAAGGCGGCGGGUUGGAGAUUUAGGAUGAUGGGAAAAAGAGGGUUCCGAGGUGUUAUUUUGGGAUGGAUUGGGGUUGUUCAUGGCGUCACCGUCGGCGGAGGUGGUGGAGAGAAUUUGAGGGCAGCUUCUAGGGUUUCUGAGUUGAUGCGAAGAGAGAAUGAGGGGUGUUUGGACUGGGGGGCCUGGUUCCGACAUAUAUAUAUUUAAGGCAUCCAAUUCUGGUCCGUUGGAUCAAUGUGAUCCAACGGUGAUGAUCAGGUGGGGAAAACGUCGUCGUUUGGUUAAUCAAAUAAAACGGACCGGGUUAGGUGAAUUGGACCUAGGCGGAUGGGUGAGGUAAAUUGUUUGGGCUUUGGCAUUUUGGGUCCAUUACACAUAGCCCUAUUUUGAUUUCGUUUUUUUUUUUUUUUUACUUUUUUCCAAUUUCCAAUUUUUUGUUCUUUUCCCUUUUAAAUUAAUUUAACCUAAAUUAACCCUUAAAUUAACUUACAUAAUUAAGCUAAUUAUCUAAUUUAGUAUUUACAACAAAUUAAUUACUCCUAAUAAGAAAAUUACUAAUUUAAAUCUAAAAGGUUAAAAAUGCAAAAGUAAGCCGUGUUUUUUUAUUUUCAUUUUUAAUCAGACAACUAAUUUACUAAUUAACCUAGAAAUGUAAAAAUAAAUCCUAAAUGCACAUGCAUGGUAUUUUUGUAUUUUUCAUGAUUUUAAUGAGAUAAACAUGCACAAAAAAAUGCAAACAAUUAACAAAAAAAUCCCCCGAAAUCCUAUAAAAAUGUAAGAAAUGGAAAAAAAUUAUUUUUCUUGUAUUUUAUGGGAGCAAUUCACAUAGGGAAAAAAUCACGUGCUCACAGCUACCCCUCUUUGCUUGGAAACACGAAGAGUUUUCGUGCAAAGAUAAAGUGAGCGGAUACGAGCAAUUUUUGCCCAUUUGAAUACUCGUGGGAGCAUUUUUUGAAAUAUUUGACCGCACCCUGCUUCCGAGGUUGCCUGCAUAUCCUUGGUUAUAAAGGAAUCACGUCAGUGUAGUUCGAGAAGUUUUGGGUAGUUGGGACUACCAGGAAGCUAUGAUUUCACUGUUGCUUUUGCUGUUACUACUUGCUGAACUUCUUAUUACACCAAGAUAAAAUAAAAGAAACUAGACUAAACUAUGAUCUAUGAGUUACAAGAAUCCUAUCUAUAUCUUCAAACUUGAUCUUGCAGUUUUUGUUGCUCUGUUGACUUGUACUCUCCAGGUGAAAUUCCUUUGUUGCUGACUUGGAUUGUAUUCUGAGGUACUUUCCCUUUGUUAUCUAGGCGGGCGCCUGAUUGCUGAACUUGAAUCGUCUUCCUUUGAACAUUGCUGCUUUCCCUUUGUUCUCCAUGUGGGUG
This 2376-nucleotide long non-coding RNA is filed under the name Nicotiana tabacum (common tobacco). Its description in RNAcentral is "long non-coding RNA (NTAB_LNC006577)". The record is from RNAcentral. Lineage: Eukaryota; Viridiplantae; Streptophyta; Magnoliopsida; Solanales; Solanaceae.